This 464-nucleotide ribosomal RNA is filed under the name uncultured bacterium. Its description in RNAcentral is "partial 16S ribosomal RNA". It matches the Rfam family "Bacterial small subunit ribosomal RNA", at positions 29 to 507 of the family's 1533-position model. The record is from RNAcentral.
ACGAACGCUGGCGGCGUGCUUCACCCAUGCAAGUCGUACGGUAAGGCCCUUUCGGGGGUACACGAGUGGCGAACGGGUGAGUAACACGUGAGUAACCUGCCCACAACUUUGGGAUAACGCUAGGAAACUGGUGCUAAUACUGGAUAUGUGCCCCUGCUGCAUGGUGGGGGUUGGAAAGCUCCGGCGGUUGUGGAUGGACUCGCGGCCUAUCAGCUUGUUGGUGGGGUAGUGGCCUACCAAGGCGGCGACGGGUAGCCGGCCUGAGAGGGUGACCGGCCACAUUGGGACUGAGAUACGGCCCAGACUCCUACGGGAGGCAGCAGGGGGGAAUAUUGCACAAUGGGCGCAAGCCUGAUGCAGCAACGCCGCGUGCGGGAUGACGGCCUUCGGGUUGUAAACCGCUUUCAGCAGGGACGAAGCUUUUUGUGACGGUACCUGCAGAAGAAGCACCGGCUAACUACGUG